RNAcentral lists this ribosomal RNA (253 nucleotides) under uncultured bacterium. RNAcentral's name for it is "partial 16S ribosomal RNA". It matches the Rfam family "Bacterial small subunit ribosomal RNA", at positions 524 to 776 of the family's 1533-position model. The record is from RNAcentral.
UACGUAGGGGGCGAGCGUUAUCCGGAUUUACUGGGCGUAAAGCGCGCGCAGGUGGUUUCUUAAGUCUGAUGUGAAAGCCCACGGCUCAACCGUGGAGGGUCAUUGGAAACUGGGGAACUUGAGUGCAGAAGAGGAAAGUGGAAUUCCAAGUGUAGCGGUGAAAUGCGUAGAGAUCCGGAGGAACACCGAAGGCGAAGGCAGUGUCCUGGCUGGUGACUGACGCUGAGGUGCGAAAGCUAGGGGAGCGAACGGG